This is a long non-coding RNA of Oryctolagus cuniculus (rabbit), 1790 nucleotides long. RefSeq lists it as uncharacterized. Lineage: Eukaryota; Metazoa; Chordata; Mammalia; Lagomorpha; Leporidae. The record is from RefSeq and is a predicted model, not a curated record.
CAAGCCCGCGCCGGGCGAGGGGUUGGGUGGAAGUCGGGGCAGAGGAGGGCGAGGAGUGGCGGAUAGGCACAGGGCCCCGCGUGGGCAGAGAGGCUGGUGGGCAAAGGGGGAACGAGUCGCAGAGAAGGAAGCCCAGGAGGGGCCCGGGGAACGGAGACGUCCAGGCAGGACCCGACGUCCAGGACAGAGCCGGAGAGCGUCCGCGUACGGAGGAACCGGGCGAGCGAGCGCCCCGUCUCGGCUCUGGCUCCGGCCGCAGCCCGGACAAGGCAGCAGCAAGCGCAGGGCGCAGGGCGCAGGGCGCCCGGCGGGGCGGAGGUGAUGAGGACACGCACUCAGCCCAACCACUGCCUCCUAUUUGCACCUGCAGAUAGUGUGACCCCCCAGUUACACGGCACUGUGGCUGCGAAGAAGAGCUUUGGUGGUCAGAGAUGAUGUUCAUGGCGCACACGCUCGUGGUGCUGGGUUUCACCUGGGGCUGUGGAGUCCUUGCCCCGACCCCUCCUCGCGCUCACCCACUCCUGGUCUUUCCUUGCUCUGCUCCACCACCUUGUCUGCUCACCUGGUUCUGUCUGCCAGGUAUCUGGAUGUCCAAAGAACUUGUAGGCAGAAUACAUUCCAGAAAAGAACUCAACCAGGAAACCCAGUUGCCUGUGGCACAGGAAGAGGAGAGUCUGUUGGCAAACAUCUGGAAGCUUCUACAGAAGUCCCAUGAGGUACCUGUGGAAGCAUCUUCACACCUCAGUAGUAGAGCGCCCACGAGCAGUUGUCCUGCAAACAUGCGCUGAGCACCGUGCACAUGCUAGCAACAUCAGUGGCUCCCUAUCGCCAUAAGAAAUAGACGCCAAGCUCUUCCCAUGGUGCCCCUAUGUACUUACCUGUCCUAGCUCUCACGCGUCAUCCCCAACCUCACAGCUGUCACGCCCGCCCAAAGCGCCCUCCACUUCCACACCUCUGAAUCUUUAUGUCUGGAUUUUCUCUUCUCUUCCGUGUUUGGAGGAGGACUCCUUCUCCUUCCCCACAACCCAGGACCCAGGGAAGUGCUGUUUUCUCUGCCAGGUCUCUCCCAACCCCCAGCAUGUGCUUUCUCCAAAACGUACCCCAGAUCUGACUCUUCCACAUCCUCAUUGCUACUUCCCGGGCUCAUGCCAUUGUCCUUCUCUGGCCUGCUCUGUGGGAGCUGGCUCCUAUGGGGUUGGUCUCUGUACUUCUAGCCUUUUCCCUCCCAAGCCAUUUCCUAUGUAGCAGCCUGGCUGAUGAUUUUGGACGUCAUGAAUCAGAUGCUAUCAGUUCCAGUGAGUACCCUCAAGUGGCUUCCCGGUACAUCAUGUCCCCUGCCUGUCUCCCUAUUGUCACCUCAUCCGCGCUCUCCUGGUUCCCUGUGUCCCAGCUCCGACCACCACCUUCUCGUUCCUUUAACAAAACAGCCUUUCCCAGGGCCUUUUGCCUUCAUGGGUGCCUGGGAGGCUUUUCUGCUAGCUCCUCUCCAGGCUGUCUCUUUUCAUAAUUUAGGAACUGGCUCCAGUAUCACUUCUGGGAGAGGUCCUCCCUGGCCCUUCCACACAGUGGCCUCUGUUCUAUCCCGCCUGAUUAUUUUUACAGCAAUCAUCCCCAGAGCAAGUGCUGUUAUGUAUUUGUUUCUACGUUUAUUUUCAAUGUCUCUGGCUACAACGUGAGCUCAAUGGUGGCAGAGAUAUUGCCUGUGUUUAUUGCUGUAUCCCCAGUGCCCAGAACAGUCCUGGUGCUGACUGGGUCCUUGGUAAAUAAAUAUCUAUGAAUGACUGCUUUAA